CAAAAUUUGGCUUCCAAAAUUUGGCCGACCCGGCGGAUUUAUACAAUCAAUAUGUUGUAUCAAACGACUCGAAAACCCCAAAAUUUGGACCCGACGCGAAUUUGUACAAUAUAGUGGAAUAUAAGCAAGGACAAGUUAAAGGUUCGACAGUUUAUUUUGAUUUAUUGUAUGGUUCUCAUUUGCCUAAUACAAUAACAUUUAGUUCACAAUACAAUAUAAACAAGGGCAAGUUAAAGGUUUGACCAUAUUAAAAUACAAUAUGUAUUGAAAUUCGCGCAAUAGCAACUAGAAUUCGCGCAAGUAAAGAUAAAGCGAGCGUUCAAAAUAGCAAAAAGAACUAAGACAUUUAUUGUAUGGUUCUCAUUUGCCUAAUAGAAUAACAUUUAG
Non-coding RNA from Paramuricea clavata, 387 nucleotides. NCBI's taxonomy places the organism in Eukaryota, Metazoa, Cnidaria, Anthozoa, Malacalcyonacea, Plexauridae. The record is from the annotation of a GenBank genome assembly.